CCUACGGGUGACAGCAGUGGGGAAUAUUGGGCCAUGUGCGCAAGCCUGACCCAGCAACGCCGCGUGAAGGAAGAAUGCUUUCGUGUUGUAAACUUCUUUUCUGGGGGACGAACAAAUGACGGUACCCCAGGAAUAAGCCACGGCUAACUACGUGCCAGCAGCCGCUGUACUACGUAGGUGGCAAGCGUUAUCCGGAUUUGUUGGGUGUAAAGGGCGGGAAGGCGGGAAUGCAAGUCAGAUGUGAAAACUAUGGGCUCAACCCAUAGCCUGCAUUUGAAACUGUAUUUCUUGAGUGCUGGAGAGGCAAUCGGAAUUCCGGGUGUAGCGGUGAAAUGCGUAGAUAUACGGAGGAACACCAGUGGCGAAGGCGGAUUGCUGGACAGUAACUGACGCUGAGGCGCGAAAGCGUGGGGAGCAAACAGGAUUAGAUACCCGAGUAGUC
This 442-nucleotide ribosomal RNA is filed under the name uncultured bacterium. Its description in RNAcentral is "partial 16S ribosomal RNA". It matches the Rfam family "Bacterial small subunit ribosomal RNA", at positions 338 to 795 of the family's 1533-position model. The record is from RNAcentral.